GGCGUCGUCGGCCACGUUGGUGACGGCGGUGCCGUUGGAGACGGCAAAGGUGGUGUCGUCCAGCUCACCCAGGUUCCAGACCUGAGCGGUGCCG
Molecule: transfer RNA, 94 nt
Filed under: uncultured Flavonifractor sp.
Lineage: Bacteria; Bacillati; Bacillota; Clostridia; Eubacteriales; Oscillospiraceae
Description: tRNA-Ser(gga)
Source: RNAcentral